This 489-nucleotide ribosomal RNA is filed under the name uncultured bacterium. RNAcentral describes it as "partial 16S ribosomal RNA". It matches the Rfam family "Bacterial small subunit ribosomal RNA", at positions 30 to 507 of the family's 1533-position model. The record is from RNAcentral.
UUGAACGCUGGCGGCAGGCCUAACCCAUGCAAGUCGAACGGUAACAGGAAGAAGCUUGCUUCUUUGCUGACGAGUGGCGGACGGGUGAGUAAUGUCUGGGAAACUGCCUGAUGGAGGGGGAUAACUACUGGAAACGGUAGCUAAUACCGCAUAACGUCGCAAGACCAAAGAGGGGGACCUUCGGGCCUCUUGCCAUCGGAUGUGCCCAGAUGGGAUUAGCUUGUUGGUGGGGUAACGGCUCACCAAGGCGACGAUCCCUAGCUGGUCUGAGAGGAUGACCAGCCACACUGGAACUGAGACACGGUCCAGACUCCUACGGGAGGCAGCAGUGGGGAAUAUUGCACAAUGGGCGCAAGCCUGAUGCAGCCAUGCCGCGUGUAUGAAGAAGGCCUUCGGGUUGUAAAGUACUUUCAGCGGGGAGGAAGGGAGUAAAGUUAAUACCUUUGCUCAUUGACGUUACCCGCAGAAGAAGCACCGGCUAACUCCGUG